UGCAGUCGAAAUGUUUUAGCUUUAGACUCGGAGAGCGAGUGUCUUCCCAGGUACGCCGUGACAUCGUCGAUAUAGCAUGACUCCAGUGGUGUACGAUGCUCGCUGCACCGAUCUGUCGCUGAUCAGAUAAGAUCGGAGCAAACGGAUCAGAUACCCCGUAGUUCCUGCUGAAACGAUGAGUUUUGCUGUAGCAGGUAUCGUCCCCUGCUCUGCCGAAGUCACACCUAAGCACUCCGCCGGGGAGUCUCGUUUCAAGGCAGAAACUUAAGGUAUGAUGGGGGCCCGCACAAGCGGUCGAGCAUGUGGUUCAAUUCGAAGCAACGCGAAGACCUUUCCUGGGUUCGAAAUGCAGUUGUAAACCUCACAGAUGAGGUCCCCUCUUCGGAGGCAGCUGUAUAGGUGCUGCAUGGCUGUCGUCAGCUCCUGUCGUGAGAUGUUGGGUUAAGUCCCGCAACGAGUGCAACCCUUGUCCAUAGUUGCUCAGGCGUAGUGGCGAGAACUAUAUGUAGACUGCCGGGCAUAAACCGGAGGUAGGUGGGGAUGACGUCAAGUCCUCAUGGCCUUUAUGUUCAGGGCCACACACGUGCUACUAUGGACGGUACAAAGAGUCCCGAUCCCGCGAGGGGUAGCUAAUCUCAAAAAGCCGUUCCCAGUUCGGAUUGUUCUCCCCAACUCCAGAGCAUGAAGCUGGAAUCGCUAGUAAUGUUGGAUCAGCUUAUCGCGGUGAAUACGUUCCCGGGCCUUGUACACACCGCCCGUCACAUCACGAAAGUCGGUUGCACUAGAAGUCGGUGGGCUAACCCGCAAGGGGGGCAGCCGCCUAAAGUGUGAUCGGUAAUUGGGGCGAAGUCGUACAAGGUAACCA
RNAcentral lists this ribosomal RNA (865 nucleotides) under uncultured soil bacterium. RNAcentral describes it as "partial small subunit ribosomal RNA". It matches the Rfam family "Bacterial small subunit ribosomal RNA", at positions 622 to 1502 of the family's 1533-position model. The record is from RNAcentral.